UGUCUCACAGGGACAAGAUGUUCUCAUCCAAUCUUCCUUCUCACUAUCAGCUUUGGUAGUGCUUUUUUUUCCAUUUUCUUGGACUUCUAGAGGGAGCAUCUUACACCCUCCUCACGUGACUGCAGUAGUUCUAUAGGUUCCAUCUUCUCAAAGGGUACAGGGCUCAAUAAGUAAUCUUCCAGAGAGUUUUCUUAAGUCGUGGUUUAUAUUGUAUGUUCCUAUGUUGGCUUAUAUUGUAUGUACUUACAUACAGUAUAAGUACGUACAGUAUAAGCCAGCAUAGGUACAUGCAAUGUAAGUGCAUUGCCUUAUAUUGUCUGUACUUACACUGCAUGUAAGCAUGUCGCCUUAUAUUGUGUGUACUUAGACUCUGUGUACACUUGCACUGUAUGCGUCAGCUUACAUUGUGUGUAGACUGUACCACUUAUGAUCGGAGCUGCCCUGCCCUGGCACAUAGUCACAGUUAGGUAGAACAGUUAUAACAACUUUACUGUUCAUCUGUCUUUUGUGGGAUUUUGGGUAGAAAAUUCAUCAGUCCAGAGUGGGGACAAGUCCUAGCUGUCAGAUAGCCACUUGUUGACCCUUCCUGUUGUCUCACAGGUCGCCGAGGCUGCUGAUUUCCCCAGGAUCUGCCAUUUAGCUCAAGGAGCGGCAGCCAGAAGAUGUGUCAAAGCACCUUCUUCAGCAUCUCAGGGAAGGGCCACAGUGAGCGUGUUUUGCAACUCAUUGUUAAAUUGAGAAUAAAAAAUCCCCAGCUGCCUUCCA
Molecule: long non-coding RNA, 765 nt
Organism: Melospiza melodia melodia
Lineage: Eukaryota; Metazoa; Chordata; Aves; Passeriformes; Passerellidae
Exons: 2
Source: RefSeq, a predicted model, not a curated record